AUAUUUGACAGUACCGUGAGGGAAAGCUGAAAAGGACUCUGAAGAGAGAGUUCAAGAGGACGUGAAACCAUUAGAAGCUCAAACGGGUGGAACCGUGAAGGUUGAAAGAGGGGAUUCAGCCGGCUGUUCUCCGGCGGCGGGUGCGGUACGAAUGCAAUUUUGAGAGAGGACCCGGCCUGAAAGUGAGUUGCCGUGGCUCGUCCCCCGCUGUCCGGAGCCCUGCUGGCUUAGUUCUCCCUCGAGUAAGGGUCGUCGCGACCCGCUAGGCGGGCCCCGAGGGCUGCGCCGGACUGGUAGCCCGCGCUGCGGCGUGGGUGAUGACCGGCUGCGGUACUGACUGGGCUUGCCUGGCGGUCACUGCAAGGAGGCUGCUGUGAGCGGCCUCUCGCGACGUGAGAGUGAUUGGUAAUCCACCCGACCCGUCUUGAAACACGGACCAAGGAGUCCAACAUGUGCGCGAGUCUAAGGGUGUACUAAACCCGGAGGCGAAAUGAAAGUGAGCCCCUUGCGGGCAGGCCGAUCCCCUGUUUCGUGCCAUCUUGGCGGCUGCGCUGGCGUUGUUAGUUGAUUUCCGCUGCGCGUGCCGCCGGUGCUGGUACGGGCGGCUGUGGGGUUUACCCCCCGCGGAGAUGGGGCGCAGGCCGAGGACUUGCCGUGUGCGGCGCGGGCAACGGGGCGCUCGUCGUCCUUAUCCCGAUGUCCGUGGGCAAGUACCUGGGAGCGCAUCCGUUGGGACCCGAAAGAUGGUGAACUAUGCCUGGCGAGGACGAAGCCAGAGGAAACUCUGGUGGAGGUCCGAAGCAGUUCUGACGUGCAAAUCGAUUGUCAGAGCUGGGUAUAGGGGCGAAAGACUAAUCGAACCAUCUAGUAGCUGGUUCCCUCCGAAGUUUCCCUCAGGAUAGCUGGCAUUCAGUUGGAUGAGUUUCAUCCGGUAAAGCGAAUGAUUAGAGGCCUUGGUGGUGCAAUGCCGUCAACCUAUUCUCAAACUUUAAAUGGGUGAGAUGUCGAGCUUGCUCGAGACAUGAAGCUCUAUGAUGCAGAAUCAGAGUGCCU
Molecule: ribosomal RNA, 1053 nt
Filed under: Anchistioides sp. 3AD
Lineage: Eukaryota; Metazoa; Arthropoda; Malacostraca; Decapoda; Anchistioididae
Description: eukaryotic LSU rRNA
Rfam family: Eukaryotic large subunit ribosomal RNA
Source: RNAcentral